RNAcentral lists this long non-coding RNA (220 nucleotides) under Olea europaea (common olive). RNAcentral describes it as "long non-coding RNA (OEUR_LNC006204)". The record is from RNAcentral. Lineage: Eukaryota; Viridiplantae; Streptophyta; Magnoliopsida; Lamiales; Oleaceae.
AUAGGCUGUACGAGACGUACUUUCAGGGACAUGGGUCGGUGCUUCUACCCGACUUGAUGGUCGCGAUCAGGUGGUGCGACCAUAUGCUAGAUAGAUUGAAGCUUGGGCUGGUCUACAUCCUCGAGAAUGUGAUGAGGUGUCAUCACAAGAAGACUGCCAUCGACAUUUUUCAUUUGCAAGUUGUUGACGACAUCGAUGCGUUCAACAACUAUCCGUGGGG